CAGCCGCCGCGGUAAUACGGAGGGUGCAAGCGUUAUCCGGAUUUAUUGGGUUUAAAGGGUCCGUAGGCGGAUCUGUAAGUCAGUGGUGAAAUCUCACAGCUUAACUGUGAAACUGCCAUUGAUACUGCAGGUCUUGAGUAAAUUUGAAGUGGCUGGAAUAAGUAGUGUAGCGGUGAAAUGCAUAGAUAUUACUUAGAACACCAAUUGCGAAGGCAGGUCACUAAGAUUUAACUGACGCUGAUGGACGAAAGCGUGGGGAGCGAACAGGAUUAGAUACCCGCGUAGUCCCUGUCUCUUAUAA
Molecule: ribosomal RNA, 301 nt
Filed under: uncultured bacterium
Lineage: Bacteria
Description: partial 16S ribosomal RNA
Rfam family: Bacterial small subunit ribosomal RNA
Source: RNAcentral